This 222-nucleotide ribosomal RNA is filed under the name uncultured bacterium. RNAcentral describes it as "partial 16S ribosomal RNA". It matches the Rfam family "Bacterial small subunit ribosomal RNA", at positions 524 to 745 of the family's 1533-position model. The record is from RNAcentral.
UACGUAGGGUGCAAGCGUUGUCCGGAAUUAUUGGGCGUAAAGAGCUCGUAGGCGGUCUGUCGCGUCUGCUGUGAAAACUCGGGGCUUAACCCCGGGCCUGCAGUGGGUACGGGCAGACUAGAGUGCGGUAGGGGAGACUGGAAUUCCUGGUGUAGCGGUGAAAUGCGCAGAUAUCAGGAGGAACACCGAUGGCGAAGGCAGGUCUCUGGGCCACUACUGACG